AGUUCAUCUGAAAGAAAAUAACAAAUGCAUAGCCAGCCAGCUGUUUUUGACCGCCCGUCAUUGCGUCCCACUCCAACCCCUGUCACCCCUCCCCCGGCCUGCUACUGCUGAGCUCAGCUGGCAGCUGCCUGCAGAGUUAAGUUGAGACCACCAGACUGCUAACGGGUACAAAACUUAUACUUUAAAAAAAUUAUGUAUUCAGUAAACUGUUCAUUUUUUUUGACGGUGUCGAAUUACCUAGCUAGCUAGCUGGCUUACGGUGGUUAGCGAGCUAGCAAAGUUACAUAGAUAAAUUAGGCAUUGGGGGAACUUAGCUAGCUCAUUUAUUCCUUAAGGUUACUCUGCAGCUUAGUUAGUUAUCGUAGCUUUCUAGAACGUUUUUUAAACCACCUGAUGAAUUUAGGACUGCCAGAGCAUCUAAAGUUAGCAAGCUGACGUUAUGGGCUGGUAUAGCGUUAGCUUACUAGCAACGAUUAGUCACUGUAGCUGUGUCAAUUUGCAGGCAAUGAAGAGAAAGUCCACGGAUCUCUCCUUGCUUUAAGAUCAAAAGUAGUACAGGGGAGACGCAGCCGACAGGGAAGCAGCAGCAGAGGGUUAGCGUUAGUGAGGAUGCAGUCGAAGCCAAUGAACAGGCAGAGGCAGCGAGAGAGCAUGACAGAACAGAGGCAGAACAUGACAGCGAUGAACAGGCCCAGGCAGCAUCAAUGACAGAGCACAGUGAAGAACAACAGACAGCAACAUGGCACUAAAGUGUGGAACAGGCAGCAACUCGAGCUCGAGCUAUUCAACCCGUUCCUGGACCAACAGGGGCAUAGAAGACGGAGCUUCAUGAAAGAGCUGGAGUACUCUCAGAGUAAAGACUCUGUCCACUGCUAUGCCUGCCGGCACUUCAGUCUCCCCUCCUCAGGUGAUUCAGUGUUUAUAUCUGAAGAGGGGUUAUUAUAAAUUACAUUUUAAAAAGGAAACUUACUGAGAUGGGGGGUUUUGUAGGCCAUGCCAAAUCAGAAUCACAUACUAAUGCUAUGUUAGCAUGGGCAGAAUAUGAAAAGUCGAAUGCAAGCAAAUGCUCUCUCUCAGCCUCCUUAAAUGCAGAAUAUAAUAAAUUAGUGAGGGAAAAAAAAGAGAGCACAUUAAAGCUGUUGGAGAAACCCUGCUCCUCACAGCUACGCAAAACGUUGCACAGAGAGCACAUGAAGAAAUGGAAGGUCAGAAUAAAGGACAUUUCCUCUCUGUUAUGGAGCUGCUAGCCAAGCAUGAUCACACAGUCAAAAGAAAAUGACAAGAGACAUAGACAUGACAUAGACCGACCAGGUGAAUCCAGGUGAAAGCUAGGAUCCCUUAUUGAUGUCACUUAUUAAAUCCACUUCAAUCAGUGUAGAUGAAGGGGAGGAAACAGGGUAGCCCUUUCCUGCAGUCAAUGACUAAAAGCUCAUUCUUCGGCCUCAUGGGUGGAAUGUUAUUCAUAUUUUUCAUAAUGAAUAAAAACGGACAAAUCCAGUGUUUCAAUGUCAACAGUUUUGUUAUAUUUCAGUC
This is a long non-coding RNA of Oncorhynchus tshawytscha (Chinook salmon), 1533 nucleotides long. The record is from Ensembl. Lineage: Eukaryota; Metazoa; Chordata; Actinopteri; Salmoniformes; Salmonidae.